CUUAGCAUGCGCCUCUAGACGUAUGUAAGGAGUGUGUUUUGGAUGCUCGGGGAGACUCCCUUAAGUCCAGCACAGGGGACGAGGGACUCUCUCUCCAGCUGGGGAGAGACAAAGUAAGAUACUCUCUCCUAGCUUGGGUCCUUUGUUUGAGUCAUGUCGAAUUUCUUCCGCAAGACACAUCCGGGUUUCGGUAUUGCCAUGACGAUGCAAACUCAAAGUCGCUCGCGGUUCAAUUAACACUCUGUUAUCCAUUUCUAGUUCAUAUGCCCGCAUGAUAUAAUUCCUUUCUUCUUAAGUACACAUCCGUUUGCCACAGUGUCAUAAGGCAGGCGACACCUUGUUGUUGGAACAACACUUGGGAGUUUUUAGUGUAUUCUGGCUUCACAGUUAAACUGAAAGGCAUUACUGAAAAAUGUAAGAACCAAGCGUUACUGUGGUGUUUCUCUUCAUUUACACUUCCUUUAGCCAUUCUGCUAAGUUUAGCCCCAGUGCGUGGCCUAAUGGAUAAAGCACUGGCCUCCUAAGACAGGGAUUGUGGGUUUGAGUCCCAUCUGGGGUGAAUAGGAUGUGUUGGUAGUGGUCUCCUCAGUGUCUGGGGAGGGUGGGAAAAAACAACAACAAGCCAAAAAGGUUAUGGAGUGGAUGUGUUGAUAUGGGUGUGGUUGGUAUGAGGAUCAGCACCUUCAAGUUCGAAUCCAUGCUUCUCUCAUGGAAAAAGGUUGUGUUGCCCCCUUCAUUCAGGUGAGGGGAGAAAAUUUGCUCCAGGUGGAGGAGUUUAAGCAUCUUGGAGUCUUAUUCACAAGUGAGGUGGGAGCGGUUGCUGUACUGGACUGUGGUGGUGAACGGGGGAGGUGAGCCGUAAGGCAAAGCUCUCUAUUUGCCGGUCUUCUACGUCCCUCCAAACAGUUUGUCCCUGUUUUAGAAGUCUGCCGGGGCGCAUUCUAAAGGUUAAAAUUUCUUUGUGUUUUGUUUUCCUUAUCAAUGUUUCUCCAUUGCGUUAAACGGACAGCAUAUAUUUUCUGAACGUCUUAACUCUUACAUCACUUUAGAACAUAUUAAGCACUUGAAAAUAUUGACUACUUGAACAUAUUUUCACACCACACUUGAACGAACAAUUUCUCACACCACAUUUCCGCCUUUGAGCAUGAAACGUUCACACGACAUGCUUGCAUAUGGUCCCCCUCGUUGUCAUCUUGUAACAGGAGAUUAUUCCGGUACCACGCUGCUAUGGUGUUUACAGGUGAGUCGAUGCCUUCAACCUUAAAUGCCCAAAUCUUUCCAUUCUGAGUUUCCUGUCUUCCCCAGUGAUAUAUGCGGAACUCAAUCCCAUUUGUACCACCUACUUUGGGCCGGGAUCAGAACGAAAGAGGCUGCAGCGGGGCACUUUGUCAGGAACAAAUCCGACAUAAUGAUUCUCUCUUCCUCAAGUUUGUUUGCCGGAAACUCAUGCGACUCUUGUCGAUACUCUACGGUUUCUUUGGCAAAGAAGCGUGCUGUGCAGUGCAACCGUGUGGGCUGUGUCAAGUUGGGAGGCACCUUUACCUCACCGCAGCGCGUCAUCAUCCAGCAGCCAAGCGGUGUACUGCGAUAACACCUGCAGAGACAACAGUCCCAAUACUGGAGAUGCGAUGUUGCCACCUUCUUCGGUCACAGUGACAGUUGCCCCGAGCUUCGCAAGCAGGUCGCGGCCCAGCAGCUUCACCGGACAGCGGUUACUAAGGAGAAACGAACGGAACCCCGGCAUCUCCUGUCUUCUAAUAGUGGAUCUCGUCGCCCCUGUGUCCACCAGGAAGGGAAACACACUAAAAAAAGUGGUUAAUGUCAUCUUGAUUGCCUUAACUGUUUGCCUUUUAAAGCCCACGGGAGACACUUGGUAGCGUCGCGGUCAGUGCUGCUGCCUCUUGACCUGAAGUUGGAAAGCCAAACGAGAUGAGACUGUAGCCAAUUUCAAGAAAACAGAGAAUCUUGUACCAGAGGCUCUUCUAAGGCAAGCAUUCAACAUUAUCCCAGUAACAGCAGAAACUAAGUUGCAGAAAUACAGUGUGGGCAGACUGUCACAGCUCUAGACAGAAGAGAAGUCGGGCUUUACCGGAAUGAUCCGCAAGCCUCUGACAAUUGAUUUGAGUGUCUCCAUUGUUCAGGAGAGCUUUCGUCAAGAUGAGCACAUCACCAGAGGCCAUGCAGGUAGGUGUCUUUCAUUGCUCCAUUGCCAGUCUCUGGAGUCUUUUUUUCUGACCCCACCCAUAGUGUUAUGGAUUUCGGUCAACAUACCACUGGAGUGGUCAUGUUGUUCUCCUUUAAGAUUUAGGAAUUAGACCCUUCUGUCCAAAUGCCUUUGCCAUACAAGACUGCAAAACUACAUUUUUCUUGUUCUCUCUGAUUAGCAGAAGGCUGUGAAUCUUGCAGUGCAACAUCUGGAAGAACAGAUGAACUCGUUUCUUCUGCGUGCAGAAUGUUGCGUAAGGGUUUCUUAAAGAAGUGGGCCGUCCGCAUUGUUGACACAGAAGUCUCACAGAGGGACCUGGUUCACGAGCCAGCAUUAUUAGCACUCAAUCAUAGAACCACGUUGAAGUUUUGGAAGAUUAACUUGACAGUUCCUGUCUUUAAUUGCUACAGAGUUUAGAAAGGUCUUCUGAUUGUUCUUUCCCAACUUGCAGGCCAAGUUCUGGGACAGAACAAAUGAACCCCUCCAGUUGAGGUGUACACCAUCACGCGUGAAAAACCUGGGCCAUUCCCAGAAAUCAUCCUAGUUAUUAACAAAUGAUAUACGAUCGGAGCGGCACCACGUCUCUAACCACCUGUUAAAAGACACCAAUCUACUGUACACCAUGUCCCCCAUGAAGAGUCUAGGUAAAGGACCAGACACUAUUAGAUUACGACAUUUCCUUUUGGCCUUGUUACACAUAGAAAUAAAUCGGCUCUUUAACACCUCAGACUGCUGAUAACGAAUAUCAUUACCACCAACAUGCACCAUCAUAGUCGACACGGCAUUAUCGGCCAGAGAACUGACGCGAGCCUUCAUGUCGGACUCACGUGCGCGUGAGAAAAACUUUACCUUUACAUUUACAUUUCGAUUCCCAGGCCCCCGGACCUUAACAUAAAUGGCUAUGAGUUUUACCUCACUUUGUUUUUUUGGCUGUGGAGAAUAACUUUCUCUGUAGAUCUGUUUGAUCGUACUGUCUAAGAAACAGGAAGGUGCAGGGUUUUUGGUGGCUUAUCUGCCAUCCCCGCAGGGUGAUGCAGAGAUUUUGUUUCAAAUUGUUUUAUACCAGAUAGUCCAGAAUAGGCUUUUCCUUGAAGACGUCGGCAGCCCCUGGGGAGGGCGAGAGACCAUCACUGGCAGUGAGGAUGAUGGCUGGAAGGAUACAGGCUUUGAAGAAUACGCGCGCAUUUCUUUUGUUUGUGAGAUCGUCUUCAGACUCUGGGACUUCCAGCAGAGGACAUUGUCAUUGUCCUUUUUCGAUGUCACGCUGGCGACCGAUGAAUGUUAUCAGAGGGUGUUGGAGACUAUAGGGUGAGUGCAAAGCAUUCCAAGCUGCUCCCCUACUCCAUGGAGCCACUCUGAAGGACAGAUAGAAGAGUU
This is a long non-coding RNA of Scleropages formosus (Asian bonytongue), 3583 nucleotides long. RefSeq lists it as uncharacterized. Lineage: Eukaryota; Metazoa; Chordata; Actinopteri; Osteoglossiformes; Osteoglossidae. The transcript has 4 exons. The record is from RefSeq and is a predicted model, not a curated record.